Molecule: ribosomal RNA, 22 nt
Filed under: Anopheles maculipennis
Lineage: Eukaryota; Metazoa; Arthropoda; Insecta; Diptera; Culicidae
Description: partial 28S ribosomal RNA
Source: RNAcentral
ACUACCCCCUAAAUUUAAGCAU